RNAcentral lists this ribosomal RNA (468 nucleotides) under uncultured bacterium. RNAcentral describes it as "partial 16S ribosomal RNA". It matches the Rfam family "Bacterial small subunit ribosomal RNA", at positions 28 to 507 of the family's 1533-position model. The record is from RNAcentral.
GACGAACGCUGGCGGCGUGCUUAACACAUGCAAGUCGAACGGAAAGGCCCUGCUUUUGUGGGGUGCUCGAGUGGCGAUCGGGUGAGUAACACGUGAGUAACCUGCCCUUGACUUUGGGAUAACUUCAGGAAACUGGGGCUAAUACCGGAUAGGAGCUCCUGCUGCAUGGUGGGGGUUGGAAAGUUUCGGCGGUUGGGGAUGGACUCGCGGCUUAUCAGCUUGUUGGUGGGGUAGUGGCUUACCAAGGCUUUGACGGGUAGCCGGCCUGAGAGGGUGACCGGCCACAUUGGGACUGAGAUACGGACCAGACUCCUACGGGAGGCAGCAGUGGGGAAUAUUGCACAAUGGGCGGAAGCCUGAGGCAGCAACGCCGCGGGCGGGAAGACGGCCUUCGGGUUAUAAACCGCUUUCGCCUGUGACGAAGCGUGAGUGACGGUAAUGGAUAAAGAAGCACCGGCUAACUACGUG